Molecule: ribosomal RNA, 204 nt
Filed under: uncultured bacterium
Lineage: Bacteria
Description: partial 16S ribosomal RNA
Rfam family: Bacterial small subunit ribosomal RNA
Source: RNAcentral
CGCAGGCUGCAACCCGCCUGCAUGAAGUUGGAAUCGCUAGUAAUCGCGGAUCAGCAUGCCGCGGUGAAUACGUUCCCGGGCCUUGUACACACCGCCCGUCACACCAUNAGGGGAGUCGGGAACACCCGAAGUCCGUAGCCUAACCGCAAGGGGGCGCGGCCGAAGGUGGGUUCGAUAAUUGGGGUGAAGUCGUAACAAGGUACC